Long non-coding RNA from Mercenaria mercenaria, 3295 nucleotides. RefSeq lists it as uncharacterized. The record is from RefSeq and is a predicted model, not a curated record. Lineage: Eukaryota; Metazoa; Mollusca; Bivalvia; Venerida; Veneridae. The transcript has 2 exons.
AUAUCUAUUUAAAAUACAAGUCUAUUUGAAAUUGAUAUCUGAUAUGUGAUUAAAAUUUAGAAAAUGGUUUCACAGAUGACUAGUGUAUUGGAAGAUGUCUAUGUCUUUAAAUGUUAAUAUUUUCAGUACUCAUAUCAAUUAAAACUGACUGUCUAACAAAACUCAUUUGACAUCUAAGAAACAACGUAACGACCAUGUUGUCUGUCUAAAUUUCUAAGUUUUAAUAGGAGUUCUUAUUUGGCACUUGUUUCCCUCAGCGUAAUAAAACUGGCACACACUUGCAGAACAACUAUAUGCUUUUUCACAAGGAUUAUUUCCAGAACCGGUGUCUGCUCAACGAAAGCUAGUAUCCCUGUCUCUGUGAAGUUGGCAGAUAGUAGAAUAACAUCAGCAGAAUCGCGGAAUAGCAGAAUAACUGCAGCAGAAAAGCAGAAUAACUGCAGCAGAGUAGCAGAACACCUUUAGCAUAAUAGAAGAAUAACUGCAACAGAAUAGCAGAAUAACUCCAACAGGAUAGCAGAAUAACUCCAGUCGAAUAGCAGAAUAGUAGAAUAACUCCAGCAGAAUAGAAGAAUAACUCCAGCAGAAUAGAAGAAUAACUGCAACAGAAUAGCAGAAUAACUCCAGCAGAAUAGCAGAAUAACUGCAUAGCAGAAUAACUGCAGCUGAAUAGCAAAAUAACUCCAACAGAAUAGCAGAAUAACUCCAGCAGAAUAGCAGAAUAACUCCAGUCGAAUAGCAGAAUAAUAGAAUAACUCCUGGUGGAUAGCAGAAUAACAGAAUAACUCCAGCAGAAUAGCAGAAUAAUUCCAGCAGAAUAAAACAAUAGCAGAACAACUACAGCAGAAUAGCAUGCUUUACAUGAUCUCAAAGUUUUGGUUACCAAUAAGAAAUGUAAUAACACACAUUCUGAAAACAGUUAUAGGAGGUAAUCUUCGUAUUUCAAAGCGAUAAAAUGACAUACUAAAAUGAUUAAACAGUCAUGAAAGCAAUAAUGGUAACAUGUGUGUCGCAAAAAGAGUCUUAGGCUAAUGUUAAUUGUGCGAGGUAAUAUGCGAGAAGUAUAAAGUAUAAAGACGGUCUUAAAGUUGUUCUUUUAACUGACAAUGGUUUUCUAACAAAUAAUAAUGGGAACAUGUUUACCGCAAAAAUAGUCUGAGGCUAAUGUUAAUUUCCACAAAAAUGCGAGGUCAAAUGAAAAAGAAAAUCGUUUAGCAUUUUUGUCUUUUUAAUGUUGUUCUACUAUUCUGCUAUUUUGCUGGAGUUGUUCUGCUAUUCUGCUGUUCUGCUAGAGUUAUUCUGUUAUUCUGCUGGAGGUAUUCUGCUGUUCUACUGGAUGUUCUGCUGGAGUUUUUUUGCUAUUCUGCUAACUUCACAGAGACAGUAUCCCUCGCAAUUUUUACAGGGUUAGCAUCAGCAUGAAAUGGAAACUCAAUAGGAGUUGUGCAAUUAAUUUUCAUCAAUGACCUGAUAGAAUAUCGAUGAAACAUCGAUCUGUCCUCAGGGCCUUGACUUUCAAUCACAAAAGGACUGUCAAACAAGAAAACUGUUAGGCAUAGCUCGGUCAAAGUUUUGGUAAUUAUACUUACUCACGCUGAAACUGUGGGUAAAUUGAUUAUUCUCUUAUCUCAGAUAACUGAUAACAUAAAACUAAAAGCAUAAAUAGGUUUAAGGUAUAUAUUUGGCAGUAAAUAUCGCGAAAAAUAUAUCGCGCAGUAAAUAAUCAACAAUACAAAAUGUCAAAUUUUUGUUGUCCUCGACUUUGCCCUAAUCUCUUGAUAUGACUCAGUUGUGACUGCAAAAAUCUGAAACGACACUAAUAUACAUGUGGAAAUCAUGUUAAAAUAUAGAUGCAAUAGAAUAAAAUAGCUAUUUUACAUCUAUUGUGCAACAACGCAAGAUAUUUUUGACAUUUCACUUUAAAAUAGGGAAAUGAUGAUGAUAAAUGGUUCCCUCUUAUGGAAAGCCUCAAACAAAUUUACCAAAUUAUCAAAUUUAAUUUGGAGAGAGGCUUGGCAUUAAUUUGCUGCUAAAUGUUAACCGUGAGUGGAGAUUAAGCGCGAAAAACCCCAUAUAUAUACUGACAGAAAUACACGAAAUGUUCGUGCAAAUAUUCGCCAAAAUAUAUACAAUAUAAAUCAUAGAUAAUAAAUGAAUAAUAAAACUAAUGAAGGAUAGUUAGUUCCGAAGCGAUAAUAAUUACAUGUAAUUUAGAUAAGCACCCGAUACAGAGAUUGAUAAAUGUAGAAUAGACGCACGUAGAUUAGUACUUGUUAUUAUAGAUCUCUCAAAAUCAAGUGAACUGUAUUCAAUGUAAAAUAUUAAUUUAGAAUAAUGUUAGAAUGAAAAUGAAGAGCGUUUUGAAAAAUGACAAAUAUGGCACUCAUGCUUGUGUCCAUUAUGCAAUAUGUACUGUAGUAUAGAACAAUAUGUUGAUAUACAAAUAACGCGUUGUCGGUCAUGAAGCAAUUGCAAAACAGGAUGUAAUUUGCUUAUUUAUUGCGUCAGUCCAAGUGUUCCAAUACAAUGUCCAGGAAAUGGUACAUUAUGUCAAAUCAAGAGAAUUAUAUAUAAGCGUCAUGUAUGAUAUAUAAACGACUCACAUACAGUAUAAAUUCUAUAAACUACAAAGUUUUACAGGAAUACACAGUUUAACUAAGGUAAAUUAAAGGUCAGACGAUUUGAAAUUAGAAUCGAAUAAAAAGCGAGUGAAUAUGGCUACAAGAUUGAUUUAUCUACUUCUGGCUGCACUACUUAUAAGCGAGUUUGCCCCGGUAACUAGCCGAUUAUGUAAACGUCGAGGGAACCGAUGCAUCAGUAAUGGGUGUUCAAGGAGACCCAAUUUUAGUUGUUUACGAGUAGGCAGAACGUGUCGAUGCCGUAGUCCUUACAUUGUAGGAAGUCCAGCACCUUUUCUACCACAUCACUCCAACAACCAAGCUUAAUAGACCGAUUGAAGUCAAGAACGAGAAAAAUAUCCCCAUGUAACUAUAAGGAGAGUGCAACAAUGUGCUUGUGCAUUGGAUACAUCUGUAGGAAUAGUUAUUAGAAUUUAAAAACUUUUUAACAUUAAAAAUAAUUUUAAGAUGUGUAGAUAAUGUUUUAGUAAAUGCUGUGAAAGUAUGUGGUGUAAAAUGUCAACGACAGAACUGGAACUAAUCUUGUUGCAACACAAAUUAUGUUCGGACAUAAAUAGCGGCUGUAAGUGCGUACUUAAAACUAUCCGAACGAAACAGUUGGCUUUAUUUCACAAUAUGAUUGUUGUCAACAUAGAAACAAUUAAAAAAGCAAACUU